This 274-nucleotide ribosomal RNA is filed under the name uncultured bacterium. RNAcentral describes it as "partial 16S ribosomal RNA". It matches the Rfam family "Bacterial small subunit ribosomal RNA", at positions 523 to 796 of the family's 1533-position model. The record is from RNAcentral.
AUACGGAGGGUGCAAGCGUUAAUCGGAAUUACUGGGCGUAAAGCGUACGUAGGCGGUCCGUUAAGUUAGAUGUGAAAGCCCCGGGCUUAACCUGGGAACUGCAUUUAAAACUGGCGGACUAGAGUUGAGUAGAGGGGAGUGGAGUUUCAGGUGUAGCGGUGAAAUGCGUAGAGAUCUGAAGGAACACCAGUGGCGAAGGCGACUCCCUGGACUAAAACUGACGCUGAGGUACGAAAGCGUGGGUAGCAAACAGGAUUAGAAACCCUAGUAGUCC